Molecule: ribosomal RNA, 513 nt
Filed under: uncultured bacterium
Lineage: Bacteria
Description: bacterial SSU rRNA
Rfam family: Bacterial small subunit ribosomal RNA
Source: RNAcentral
AGGACGAACGCUGGCGGCGUGCUUAACACAUGCAAGUCGAACGGAAAGGCCCUGCUUUUGUGGGGUGCUCGAGUGGCGAACGGGUGAGUAACACGUGAGUAACCUGCCCUUGACUUUGGGAUAACUUCAGGAAACUGGGGCUAAUACCGGAUAGGAGCUCCUGCUGCAUGGUGGGGGUUGGAAAGUUUCGGCGGUUGGGGAUGGACUCGCGGCUUAUCAGCUUGUUGGUGGGGUAGUGGCUUACCAAGGCUUUGACGGGUAGCCGGCCUGAGAGGGUGACCGGCCACAUUGGGACUGAGAUACGGCCCAGACUCCUACGGGAGGCAGCAGUGGGGAAUAUUGCACAAUGGGCGGAAGCCUGAUGCAGCAACGCCGCGUGCGGGAUGACGGCCUUCGGGUUGUAAACCGCUUUCGCCUGUGACGAAGCGUGAGUGACGGUAAUGGGUAAAGAAGCACCGGCUAACUACGUGCCAGCAGCCGCGGUGAUACGUAGGGUGCGAGCGUUGUCCGGAU